RNAcentral lists this ribosomal RNA (253 nucleotides) under uncultured bacterium. Its description in RNAcentral is "partial 16S ribosomal RNA". It matches the Rfam family "Bacterial small subunit ribosomal RNA", at positions 524 to 776 of the family's 1533-position model. The record is from RNAcentral.
UACGUAGGCAGCAAGCGUUGUUCGGAGUUACUGGGCGUAAAGAGUGCGUAGGCGGUCCUGUAAGUUUGGUGGGAAAUCUCCCGGCUCAACUGGGAGGGUGCGCCGAAGACUGCAGGGCUUGAGUAUGGGAGAGGUAAGCGGAAUUCCUGGUGUAGCGGUGAAAUGCGUAGAUAUCAGGAGGAACACCUGUGGUGUAGACAGCUUACUGGACCAUAACUGACGCUGAGGCACGAAAGCGUGGGGAGCAAACAGG